RNA transcript from Xiphias gladius (swordfish), 5004 nucleotides. It is a transcript of the gene named DNA damage-induced apoptosis suppressor, with no coding region annotated. NCBI's taxonomy places the organism in Eukaryota, Metazoa, Chordata, Actinopteri, Istiophoriformes, Xiphiidae. The transcript has 6 exons. The record is from RefSeq and is a predicted model, not a curated record.
UACAUUUCACAUUUGGUAUUCAUUAAUAAUUGUUGGAACCAAAGCUGCUACUGUUACUGUUAAGUUAAUAUAACAGCCGUGCGUUUCGUUUGAAGUCUCGGCUAGCCCGCGGUUAGCCUGCUAGCCGCAGCCAAGUGCCCGUGCCUCAGAUUAAGCUCUUUGCAGGCUAAAUGUCUGCUAGACGGGCUCUGGUAGAGUGUGCUGUGUUGUCUGUGCGAGAUACCUGUGUGUUUUAUCCCUGCUGUAAAGGCUGCCUCUCAAGGAUUGAUGUUGAGCAGCAGGACACGACGAGAUGCAGAUGCUCCAAGUGUGGUUACAGCUGUCUGAGGGAACAGGUUGAGUACAGAUAUCGUCUCUCACUAAAGGUGGCCCGGGACAGAUGCAUAUUUGGAGUAACAGUAUUUGGAACCUGCUUGAACCCAUUCUUUGGCAUUCAUGCAAGUGGACUACAGAGGUUGGUGGAGAACUCAGAUGGAUCACUUGGAACAUCAACCAGAGCCACACUGUUGGCGAAGGCUGUGGAGGACUGUUUCAUUGGCAGACAUUUCAUCUUUGGUGUAAAGGUAAGCAGAACAGAAAGUGGGCUUUGGUUUGGAGGGUCUGUUGCAAAUGGCUCCAGCAGUAAAGACACAGUCCAGUAUAUCGCAAGUCAGAUGAUUCUCCCCAAAGCUGCAGGCCUGGGAGGCUGCACAGUGGUCAGUUAUUAUCGGAUCCUUCUUCAGAAAGCUGCAGAGUAUGAGCUCGGAUCUACUGGUCCCAGCAAACCCUGCAGACCCCCAGAAACAACCCUGCUGCUGAUUCAUCAUCACUCUUUAGCCAGUAGCUUCAGUAAUGCCACACUGUCUGCCUCAGGUCUUCUUUCCCAGUCACUGCAAAGAUCACAGCAUGAAGACUGCACCCUUACUCCGACUCCUCCAUGGCAACAGUCACUAGGACUAGUUACUUCAUCAGCGGAGCAGGAGGAAGGCUACAGUACCCAGGACAAAACACCACAUGUGCAUCAUCAUGUGAGAGGCUGCCUGGAGAACCAUAAAGCCACAGAGGAGAGAACUCUGUUGUCACCUCUUUCUUUAGAGCACAGGACUUACAGUAGUCCAUCAUUUGCCAAAUACCCACACACAUCUAUUGAGAAAGCUGUUGAAAAAAACCCCAUCCUGACCACUUGGUUCAGUCCCACCCAGCCUGGCCACAAAAGGGGUUUAUCACUCAGCUAUAAGGCAAAGAGGUUUUCUACCAGACAACUCGCCAAAACAUUUUUGUCAAGCUCCUUGGCUUGGGAUGAUUUGCCUUUCUCUGAGAGUCUUGCAGAGUUUUUGGGUGAGGAAAACAAAGAUUUUGACAUUGUUAGUGAAACCGAUCCACAUCUAAAAGUGCAAAAUCAGAAAGAAACAGUAAGAAACAACCUGGAAAUCAGAUCACAAGACAUGAACUUGUCAAUUGAGUCAACUUCUUUUUAUCAAAGUAACACAGAUAUAACAGAGAGCCACUCACUGAUGUUACUGGAUAUCACUAAUAAACCUGCACUGAACAAUGGAGGUGAUAAACAUGAUUUAUCUGACCAGGUAUGCAAGAACUCCGUUGGAUGUUUAAACAAAAGUCAAGCCAGAAGCAUUUGUUUCCAUCAGUGUAAUCAGGAGGACGAGGAAGCUAGUUCUCUGUCUUUUGAAAACAAAGAAGAAGAGCAGCUUGAAGGAGAUACCUAUAAUUGUUCAGCAGACCUAUUCGGUAGCUCAGUAAUGAUCGAAAUGAACACAAAGACACUAAGCAUGUAUGCAGAAACCGUCAGGACAACUUCAGAAGCUUGCAUGCUGCUUUCCAGUCCAGACAAACAACACCUGAGGAAUGAAAAGGCUGGUGUCCCACAUUCAACACCAGACAAACAGAAGCUGAAAAGUAAUAAACACAUUAACAGAGACAGUUUAAUUCAACCAGGCACACAAGAUCUUGACUUCAUCCCUCCUGCUCAGUCUACCCCAAUUGUAAAAGCAGCUGUUGUGUCAGGGUCACCUGCCUCCUCAUACUCCCCCUCGACAUUAGGUGAAUUCAGUUCACAACCAGACUGUCAAGAUUUGUGUGCUUUUUACAGUGAUCUGCCAGAAUUGGACAGUAGAAAUCCAGCCAGAAUCACCUCUUCUCAGUGUAGACUGAACACUGUCAGUGCUAACCAGCUGUCCCAGUGUGUCAAAGAGUCUACUAAAGAAAACUUGGUGUGGGGCAUGACAUCCAGCAGACACGACCACAGACUUACCCCAAAAAAGAGGUUCUGGGAAUCAAACAAGCAUAAAGAUCAUAUGUUUCAGCAGCACCUGACGGCAAAGAGGGGGGAUCUAAACCUGGGGUCAACAUUAAUGAUUACCAACAAAUGUGACUCAAGUGUUUGUGAUGUGACUGUGUGUGAGUAUAAGGACAAUGAAGUAAUUGUUCCACCUACUCCUGCUGCUAAAACACGACUGAAUGUGAAGUUCAGAAGAAGAAGGCAGACUGAUAAGAGCAGUGGUGAUUUGGAAUCUACUUGGAAAGCGCAGCAGGGGGAUGGAGUUAAUUGUAAAAGAACUCUGUUGGAUCAAACUUUCACAUCAUCACAAAGAGGUCUGAUACAAACAGGAAAUUGUGACAGUGAGAUAGUUGAUGAGGGGAGUCUGGAUGGAUCCAGUGGUUACCUCCUUGACGAUGAGAACCAGGCAUGUGAUUGGUCUAGAGAUCUUUUCUCUAACUCGGUCUGAGAGGUUCUGUUGCAGAUGGACUUUACUAAUUGAUCCAAUAAUGCAAAAGUUAUUUAAUGUACUUCAGGCCAGCAACCCAGUUAUGAGAGACCUUUUCCACUGAAAGAGUAGUACUACUGCGAUCACUCGUACUGUUACUGGUACUCAAAAUCUUUGCAGAGGGAUAUAAGAAUAGAGCAAAUAUAUUAAAAACUAAAAAUGGGGGCUGUUGAAAGGCACUACAGGAGAAGCCUUAACUUGACCCGCCCUCUGCUAUAUGCACUGUAUCUGUAAACAUACAAAGACACCUCUUCUGAUUUGUGGGUUCAGCUGCCUCAUGCACACCCGUUGCUAAAAAGUGCAUAAAAUCAAGCACCAAGCCAUGUAAUCGCCUUUGACAUUUGCAGUGGAAUGGGUUAUAGUGAAGAUUUCAGUGCCCAACUUCAACUAAGUCUUUUGGAAAGCCUUCCCAGAACAGUGAAUGCUCCUAUAGGAGCAAAGGUGGGGGCAACUCCUUAUUAAUGCCCAUGAUUUUGGAAUGAGAUAUUCAACAUUCAAUAUAGUUUUAAUGUGUGGAUGUCUACAUACUUUUAGAGAUUAAUUUUAAAGGAAGAAUCUCCUUCACAGAGUUAACUUUAAAACAAUUAAGGCUUUUAUUGGUAACGUCUCAGUAACUGAAAUGUGGAUCAGAUGAACUUUUAAACAUUGAGGUGUAAUUUUUACCUUGUCUGAGGUAUUUGGACCAUACCGUGUGACACAUUAGUAACUCUGUUCUGAGCUGCUGUCUGCUGCUGUACCUCACUGCUCCACCCUCAUAGCUGGCUUCAUUGACUCAUAACAUGGUGUGUGCUCUGUUGCUUUUACAACUUUCUGAAUGCUAUUAAAGUGAAGAGACAGUAAAAGGAUAAUAUAUAUAUAUAUAUGAUUGGGUGGGUAUCUGAUAAAUUUACUGCCUUAGAACCACUGGAAUUUAAAUAGUUAAAUUCUUGACAAAGACUUUCUUUCUGAAUUACCCUUUUUAAUAUAUAACAUUAUAACCUUUUUAAAUAUAAGUUAAUAGGAAGGAAUAUGUUACGGAACAAAGGCCCCAGCUGGAACUGAACCAUGGAUUUUUAAAUGUCUGUUUACAGUAUGCAUCCUAUCCCCAAGGCCAGCAAGACACACUAUCACUCUUGAAUGCUCUCCAGUCUAAUUUGACUCACUCUACUCCCUGGUACUUCUGUUGGCAGCAAAGUCCUUAAGCUGACUUUCUGUUCUGCUGCUACUGUGUGUGUGUUUUUGCAGGGGUGUUAAUGUAGGGAUCAGUGUGUGCAGUGCCAUGCCAGAGAGCUAAGAAUAGCAGCCACCAAAUUCUAUGACUCCAAUGUUCUUGAUAUGUGAGUAAAAAAAAAUGGGACAAGAGGUAAACAGCUGGAUCUCUGUGCUGUAUAUGUUACAGAGGCAGGGCCGGUAUGUAGUCAACUGGGCAUGGCGUGAUGUGUGUGUCUGUUUUCCUGUAUGUAUGUUACGAUAUCUUUUUUUUAUCUGAAGUGCCGUGUGUUGCUUUUUUUUAGUAGAGGAACUCAGACUGUGGAUCUUGGAGUAACCCUCAGCAGUGAAAGACAGCCAUCCCUGAGGUGAUACAAGGAAAGCUGUAAAGAAAAGAACAAGACGCAUUCGUACAAAACAAGUUACAUGCUUUUGUGGUGUGUUGUUGCAGUGCUUCUUCUGCCAGAGAGAUUAGAUUAUGUUGAAUCCACCUUGUGUGUGGAAAAAAUAUCUGUGCUGAAUGGUAGUCCAGAACAUUAGCUAUGGGAGAACUCAGAAGCUCAACAAAAGUGUCCCUGUGGUGGCUGUUUUAGUGCUAUGUCCCAUUGGCAGUGCAUUCGUUCUGAUGUUGUCUGUGUGUGUGUGUGUGUGUGUGUGUGUGUGUGUGUGUGUGCGUGCCAGAGAAUUUUGGCAUCAGUUGUUUCAAUAAUAAAAAUAGCAAAUAUAACCUUGAGUGUUAGUACGUAUAACCACAAAUGUCAUUUUCAUGCACUUUGGAAUACCAAGUGCAAAUAUAUAAAAUCCCAAUGGGCAUUUGGGCAUUUUAAGAUUUGAGUGUAAAGUCUGGCCUGAUAGUGGCGCUAAAAGAAAAUACCCACACAUCUGAAGAAAUACCCUUUUGUUUGACCCAGUUAUAAAGCAGAUUUCCAGCAUUAGCCACUUUUUCUGACUCUUUCUUAUUUGGUCUUGCUAAUUUCACUGUGUUCACUACCUAUUUGGACUACCUCAACUUUUAACUGAUUCAGCAACCAUGUCAGUUCUAAAAUGCUGUGUU